AGUGAACGCUGGCGGUAGGCCUAACACAUGCAAGUCGAACGGCAGCACAGUAAGAGCUUGCUCUUACGGGUGGCGAGUGGCGGACGGGUGAGGAAUACAUCGGAAUCUACUUUUUCGUGGGGGAUAACGUAGGGAAACUUACGCUAAUACCGCAUACGACCUACGGGUGAAAGCAGGGGAUCUUCGGACCUUGCGCGAUUGAAUGAGCCGAUGUCGGAUUAGCUAGUUGGCGGGGUAAAGGCCCACCAAGGCGACGAUCCGUAGCUGGUCUGAGAGGAUGAUCAGCCACACUGGAACUGAGACACGGUCCAGACUCCUACGGGAGGCAGCAGUGGGGAAUAUUGGACAAUGGGCGCAAGCCUGAUCCAGCCAUACCGCGUGGGUGAAGAGGGCCUUCGGGUUGUAAAGCCCUUUUGUUGGGAAAGAAAAGCAGCAGGUUAAUACCCCGCUGUUCUGACGGUACCCAAAGAAUAAGCACCGGCUAACUUCGCG
RNAcentral lists this ribosomal RNA (492 nucleotides) under uncultured bacterium. RNAcentral describes it as "partial 16S ribosomal RNA". It matches the Rfam family "Bacterial small subunit ribosomal RNA", at positions 29 to 507 of the family's 1533-position model. The record is from RNAcentral.